This is a long non-coding RNA of Mustela lutreola (European mink), 2613 nucleotides long. RefSeq lists it as uncharacterized. The record is from RefSeq and is a predicted model, not a curated record. The transcript has 3 exons. Lineage: Eukaryota; Metazoa; Chordata; Mammalia; Carnivora; Mustelidae.
CCGCGGGAGCCCCAACCCCCAAGGGGCCAAGGUGGCUGUGCAGGAAGUCUGGCUCCAGGGCCUUGCAAGGGCUUUGCCCUCGGCUCCCGCCCCUCCGAACACCCCGGUCUCCCAGGCCAGGUGUCCUCCGUGAGGGGCACGUGGCUGCCCCAUCUGUGUCACCGUGAGCCAGGCCCUCUUAGCUAGGGCUCGAUGUUGUUGUCUUCACUGAGGAACCCCGGGUGCUGGGGGCACAUUCAGAUCCCUGGGCUCUGGCUGUACCCCCACCUACACAUGAGGGGGAACUGCCCCUCCAGUUCAACUACUUUGGGUCGUGGUACCGGGCUGGGUCCAGAGCUGCAGCCCGCCUCUUCCUUUCCCCAGAUCCCGCCCAGUUCAGUCGCCUGUGCCCGCCCUGGCAACCGCCCAGGGGGCUCUCCUAACAUCGACCCAGGAUCUGAGGAGGCUCUGGGUGGCUCAGGCCGCUCCUGAGUAGGCUUGUCGCCCCUCAGGCUUGUCACCCUGCAGAGAAGGCGGAAGCUGCUUUAUCAGAAAGAACAGCAGAUGCAAAGGUCCUGAGGUUGGAAGCUUGAGGAACAGCCAGAAGUCCCGUGGCUGACUCAGGAAGUCCGGGAAGUUGGCCCAGGUGGACAGGACUGGCUGGGAAGGGCCUAACAGGUGGCAGCAAAGAGCACAGGUGUCAUCUCCUCCAGGAAGGCCUCCCUGCUGACCAGGGCUGAGCUGGGGAGACCACAAGCAGAUUCCACCAGGAGUGUGGGGACCACAUGCAGCUCAUCUCUGUGGCUGUACAUGCAGCACGGACCAGGCCCAGGGCAGCCAGUACCAGCGGUCUGCAGAGCCCGCGGAGGAUUGCUCGCCCACGCGGAGUCUCGUCAUGCCAGCCUGGCCCCCAGCCCCGGACACCCCAGCACAGAGAUGCCUGCACUCCCCAGGCCAUGUGCUGCUCCCGACCACGGCAGCCGCCAGCCCCUGGUAUGCCCCUGGGGCUUGGGAGAGAGGCCAUGCUCCAGUUACCUCCAGACCAGAGUGGCUCCACACCAUGCCCUGUGUCAGCGUCCUGAGGCCACCACAGCAAAAAGCUACAGACUAGCGGGCUUGGACCACCGGAGAGCACUCGCCGUUCCUUGUCUGUGGACUGCGCUGGCACUGUGCCCGGCUCUGCCCUCCACCUUUGGGUAUCUUCUUCCUCUUCCUACAGGGACACCCGUCACAGGGACCUCCUCUUAACUCCAUCCGCAAAGAUCUUAUUUCCAAAUUAUGUCACAUUCUGAUGUUUCAGGUGGAUGUGGAUUUGGGGGGAAUUUCUUCAACCCACCACACUCUGCCCUCUGAUCCCCUUAAAAGUCCCUUUGGUCUCAUGUUCAGAAUAUACCCGCCCAUCCUGCCAGCUCUCAGAGUCUUAACCCAUUCCAAAAGGGAGAGGAGAAUGGACAGAAGGACAGAGUCGCUGGUCCCAAGCAAGUCUGAAGCCUGGAGAAGCAGCAGCCAGAGACUUCAGGGCCCGAGAAUAAUCCUCUGUAGCCCUUCACUCUGUCCUCUAGGCACAUGGCAGCAGCCCUGCUGUCUGGGGCCCUGGGCACUCCGUCAGGGAGUUCACACCACCAGACAAGAACCCCCACAGACCUGGCCUGGGGUCCCCACCUCUGUCCCGAUGCUGGGCUGAGAGGGUGCACCCCCAAUUUCUCCAGGAACAGGGGUUCCCACGGCACCGCCGGUGUCCCUUCAGACCUAAUUUAACAAUCUGGACAGGUUCCCUUUUGCCCAACAGCCCCUCCCCCAUUGGCCUCCUGCCCCCCCACCCCCAGGAUUUACAAGCAGCUUUGUUUGGAAAUGUCCUCAGCUAAACAUCCAAGUUCGUCCCUUCCAGUGUCUCCUUUGUGCUCAACCUGAGAGCGUGGUUCAGCCAGGCUCUGCCACACUCAAGUCCCCAACGCCCUCCCCAGAGGAGCCUUUCUCGUCCCUGUUUCUACCAAGAAGCUCUUGGAGGACAUUGAGUCACCUUCCAUCCCGUGCCCCAAACUCGUCCAGUUCCCAGCUCCUCAGCCACUCCCGAGGCCCAGCAUUUGCUAGCACAAAGUCAGGGCUAGAUCCCUGGAGAAGAACACAUUGCCACAAAGUGGCCAACAACAGAACUUAAAUUCAUCAAAACAACAGAAAUGUAUCCUCUCUUGGUGCAGGAAGCCGGGACCCUGGGGUCAAGGUGUGGGCAGGCCACACUCCCUCUGGAGGCAGCGGGGUGGACCCUCGCGCACCUUCCAACCCUGCUCGCUCUGCCUGUCCAGCUCUCCACCGCCUUCGGGUGCGCCAGGACGCCGAGCUGUCACGUGGCCGUCCCGGAGUGCCCUCUCUUCUGAUACAGACCCAGUUAUGGGGUUACGGUCUGCUCUAUCCUUACUUUAACUAAUAUCACAUUUUGAGGUUCUAGGUGGACAUGAAUCAACCCAAGACCCCUGUGUCGGCUUGCUCCCCCCCGCCUUCUCCGCUUGUUCUCCCCCCGCAGCAGGUUUCCUAGGAGCCUCCCGAGUAAAUUCCUUGCAUUCAACUUGUACGGCAAGAUCUGCCACUGAGAGAACCUUACGUGACACAAACCCGUGCUCUGAGCUCCCAGGGACC